RNAcentral lists this ribosomal RNA (340 nucleotides) under uncultured bacterium. RNAcentral describes it as "bacterial SSU rRNA". It matches the Rfam family "Bacterial small subunit ribosomal RNA", at positions 1182 to 1504 of the family's 1533-position model. The record is from RNAcentral.
UCCAAAAUCCAUCAAUGCCCCUUAAUAUCCCAGGGCUGCAAACAUGCUACAAUGGCCCGGUACAAAGGGCUGGCUUAAACCGUUAGGUGGCGCGAAUCCCAUAAAGCCGGUCUCAGUUCGGAUUGGAGUCUGCAACUCGGACUCCAUGAAGCUGGAGUUGCUAGUAAUCCCGGAUCAGCAACGCCGGGGUGAAUACGUUCCCGGGCCUUGUACUACACCGCCCGUCACACCUACGGAAAGUUGGUAACACCCGAAGCCUAGUGGCCCUAACCCUUUGGGAGGGAGCUGUACGNAAGGUGGGNUCUAGCGAUUGGGGUGAAGUCGUAACAAGGUAACCGUG